Arvicanthis niloticus (Nile rat) is the source of this 547-nucleotide non-coding RNA. NCBI's taxonomy places the organism in Eukaryota, Metazoa, Chordata, Mammalia, Rodentia, Muridae. The record is from RefSeq and is a predicted model, not a curated record.
AUGCCCGAGGAACGCCAGGUCCCGGGAGUUUCUUUACCGGACACCAGGAACCUCUUUCCAACCCUGUCUGUUGCAGUAACCCCAGUGCAGGCAGUGGUCUUGCUGUAUUUCCAGGACCAAGCCAGCUGGACCCUAGAGGAGCUGAGCAAGGUGGUGAAGAUGCCUGUGGCACUGCAUGUCAGUGUGGCUGCAGCAGGGUGUGCUGCGGGAGGAGCCUCCAGGCACUUUCUCUGUCAUUGAGGAAGAGCGGCCUCAGGAUAGGGACAACAUGGUACUGAUUGACAGUAAUGAUGAGAGCAACUCGGGCAUGGCCUCCCAGGCUGACCAGAAGGAAGAGGAGCUACUGCUCUUCUGGACAUAUAUCCAGGCCAUGUUGACCAACCUAGAGAGCCUCUCUCUGGAGCGCAUUUACAGCAUGCUGCGAAUGUUUGUAAUGACUGGCCCUGCGCUGGCUGAGAUUGGCCUGCAGGAAUUGACUUGCACUUCUGGUUCUCCCCUGUGUAUGUGUGGCACACUGCACUAUAGCUCCUCCCACUUUGUGCCAUAG